UACGUAGGGGGCAAGCGUUGUCCGGAUUUACUGGGCGUAAAGAGCGUGUAGGCGGCCACGCAGGUCCGUUGUGAAAACUGGAGGCUCAACCUCGAGACGCCGGUGGAAACUGCAAAGCUAGAGUCCGGAAGAGGAGAGUGGAAUUCCUGGUGCAGCGGUGAAAUGCGCAGAUAUCAGGAAGAACACCCGUGGCGAAGGCGGCUCUCUGGGACGGUACUGACGCUGAGACGCGAAAGCGUGGGGAGCAAACGGG
This 253-nucleotide ribosomal RNA is filed under the name uncultured bacterium. RNAcentral describes it as "partial 16S ribosomal RNA". It matches the Rfam family "Bacterial small subunit ribosomal RNA", at positions 524 to 776 of the family's 1533-position model. The record is from RNAcentral.